ACUCAAAUGAAUUGACGGGGGCCCGCACAAGCGGCGGAGCAUGUGGAUUAAUUCGAUGCAACGCGAAGAACCUUACCUGGGUUUGACAUGCGCAGGACGCACCUAGAGAUGGGUGUUCCCUUGUGGCCUGUGUGCAGGUGGUGCAUGGCUGUCGUCAGCUCGUGUCGUGAGAUGUUGGGUUAAGUCCCGCAACGAGCGCAACCCUUACCCUAUGUUGCCAGCGCGUGAUGGCGGGGACUCGUGGGGGACUGCCGGGGUCAACUCGGAGGAAGGUGGGGAUGAGGUCAAGUCAUCAUGCCCCUUAAGCCCAGGGCUUCACACAUGCUACAAUGGCUGGUACAGAGGGUUGCGAUAUCGUGAGGUGGAGCGGAUCCCUUAAAGCUGGUCUCAGUUCGGAUCGUAGUCUGCAACUCGACUACGUGAAGGUGGAGUCGCUAGUAAUCGCAGAUCAGCAUUGCUGCGGUGAAUACGUUCCCGGGCCUUGCACACACCGCCCGU
This 498-nucleotide ribosomal RNA is filed under the name uncultured bacterium. RNAcentral describes it as "partial 16S ribosomal RNA". It matches the Rfam family "Bacterial small subunit ribosomal RNA", at positions 899 to 1397 of the family's 1533-position model. The record is from RNAcentral.